RNAcentral lists this ribosomal RNA (252 nucleotides) under uncultured bacterium. RNAcentral describes it as "partial 16S ribosomal RNA". It matches the Rfam family "Bacterial small subunit ribosomal RNA", at positions 524 to 776 of the family's 1533-position model. The record is from RNAcentral.
UACGGUGGAUGCGAGCGUUAUCCGGAUUUAUUGGGUUUAAAGGGUGCGUAGGCGGGAUGCCAAGUCAGCGGUAAAAAUGCGGUGCUCAACGCCGUCGAGCCGUUGAAACUGGCGUUCUUGAGUGGGCGAGAAGUAUGCGGAGUGCGUGGUGUAGCGGUGAAAUGCAUAGAUAUCACACAGAACUCCGAUUGCGAAGGCAGCAUACCGGCGCCCUACUGACGCUGAGGCACGAAAGCGUGGGUAUCGAACAGG